RNAcentral lists this transfer RNA (92 nucleotides) under Oscillospiraceae bacterium. RNAcentral's name for it is "tRNA-Ser". It matches the Rfam family "tRNA". Rfam says of the family: Transfer RNA (tRNA) molecules are approximately 80 nucleotides in length. Their secondary structure includes four short double-helical elements and three loops (D, anti-codon, and T loops). The record is from RNAcentral. RNAcentral also lists the same sequence under 1 other name. Lineage: Bacteria; Bacillati; Bacillota; Clostridia; Eubacteriales; Oscillospiraceae.
GGAGUGAUACCCAAGAGGCCGAAGGGGCUCCCCUGCUAAGGGAGUAGGUGGUCAAAAGCCACGCGAGGGUUCAAAUCCCUCUCACUCCGCCA